UUAUUAGAUUAUUGACAGUAGUGUCACAGAAUAACAUUUUAUUUGAAUUUAACCAGAAGUCCUACUCUUGACAUAUCAAAAUGCUGAUAACACUUGUUUAGCGAUCUGGAAACAACUUCGUUGCAUAAAUUGAUAUGGCUUGGCCGCGCUCAUUUCAGAUAGCUAAACAAGUGUAAUGUGGAGAGUGGAGCUUCUGGUUAAAUUAUUAUUCUGUGGUAG
Paramuricea clavata is the source of this 219-nucleotide non-coding RNA. NCBI's taxonomy places the organism in Eukaryota, Metazoa, Cnidaria, Anthozoa, Malacalcyonacea, Plexauridae. The record is from the annotation of a GenBank genome assembly.